UCUGCUGAGAUUGCCUUANUAAUGGCGAAUGAACCGGCAAAAGCUCAUUGCUGAAGCAUGACAAAUUCACUUUUGACAUGCAUUGUAGCAUUUGGGGUAACUAUUGUAUGGUGCCUGUUCGUGUGAGUUCCUUUGAUCAGGGCUUCAACCAUAGAAGGUGCUAGUCCUAUAAUCACGAAUAGUUUGUGCUGUACAUUGUAUACCUUUCGAGUAGCGUAGUUUGAGAUUGCUACGCCAACGUGGGACGUAAACUUGUUCCAAAGCUAAAUAUUAUAACGAGACCGAUAGCGAACAAGUACCGUGAGGGAAAGUUGAAAAGCACUCUGAAGAGAGAGUUAAAUAGUACGUAAAACCGUACAGAAGAAAACGAAUGGCCGCAUUCAUCAGAUUACUUUGAAUUCAAUUUGAUCUCUAUAUGAUGGUGAUACAAGUUGAUUCGGAACUUCAACAGUCCAUCGAUUUGUUAUUGCCUAGAGUCAAGUGCAUUUUCAAAGUAUUAACUGAACCUGGAUCUAUAACAUUGAAAGCUAGUCGAAUCAGUCUAUUUUGGUAGCGAGUAUUACUCGUGUUAAAAAUAUGACUUGCAUAAAUAACAAAUUCGACUUGGCGUUAUAGGUAAACAGACAUGUUCUUUGAUUUCAGCACUUUCGAGUACGGCAUGCCAUGAGCAUUGUUUGUGUCACAUGAGUAACUAAUAUCUAAACAAUAUUAGUUUUAUUCAUCGUUGAUGCCUAAUGUUUUGUGGCUGUCAAUGAAAUCGGCAAGUCUACAGGAGUUUUGAAUGCCGAGUUAUUCGACCCGUCUUGAAACACGGUCUAAGGAGUUCACUGCAUGUGCAAGAGUUCGGCUGUAUGAAAAGCCUUGCUCGUAAUGAAAGUAAAGAACAUUCUUGCAAUGUUUUAAGUGUGAUUUCUGUCAUCUGGUGCAAAUCAUGACAAUGAACGCAACACUGACAGGUUCUAUUGCCGCUGGCAAAGAGCUUAGUAAGAGUAUAUGCAAUGAGACCCGAAAGAUGGUGAACUUAAUGUGUGUAGAAUGAAGCCAGGGGAAACCCUGGUGGAAGUUCGUAGCGGUUCUGACGUGCAAAUCGAUCGUCAAAC
RNAcentral lists this ribosomal RNA (1100 nucleotides) under Rotaria tardigrada. RNAcentral describes it as "eukaryotic LSU rRNA". It matches the Rfam family "Eukaryotic large subunit ribosomal RNA", at positions 65 to 910 of the family's 3401-position model. The record is from RNAcentral. Lineage: Eukaryota; Metazoa; Rotifera; Eurotatoria; Philodinida; Philodinidae.